UAGAUACCUGGUAGUCCGCACAGUAAACGAUGGAUGCCCGCUGUUAGCGCCUGGCGUUAGCGGCUAAGCGAAAGCAUUAAGCAUCCCACCUGGGGAGUACGCCGGCAACGGUGAAACUCAAAGGAAUUGACGGGGGCCCGCACAAGCGGAGGAACAUGUGGUUUAAUUCGAUGAUACGCGAGGAACCUUACCCGGGCUUGAAUUGCAGAGGAAUUAUUUAGAGAUAAAUAUGCCUUCGGGGUCUCUGUGA
RNAcentral lists this ribosomal RNA (250 nucleotides) under uncultured bacterium. Its description in RNAcentral is "partial 16S ribosomal RNA". It matches the Rfam family "Bacterial small subunit ribosomal RNA", at positions 779 to 1035 of the family's 1533-position model. The record is from RNAcentral.